UACACGGUGGCGCAGUUGGUAGCACUGGUGCCUUGCAGCAAGAAGGUCCUGGGUUCAAGUCCCAGCUGAGGGUCUUUCUGUAU
Molecule: non-coding RNA, 83 nt
Organism: Ataeniobius toweri
Lineage: Eukaryota; Metazoa; Chordata; Actinopteri; Cyprinodontiformes; Goodeidae
Source: the annotation of a GenBank genome assembly